RNA transcript from Betta splendens (Siamese fighting fish), 3378 nucleotides. RefSeq lists it as uncharacterized. The record is from RefSeq and is a predicted model, not a curated record. Lineage: Eukaryota; Metazoa; Chordata; Actinopteri; Anabantiformes; Osphronemidae. The transcript is spliced from 6 exons.
CAGUCACUGUCGCUAACUAACCCGCUAGCGAUGUUUUUAUGAGUCGCACAAAGUAUAAGCUAAUAUCUUACUAAGAUUGCAUCUGAAGGAUGUUACUUUAGAUGUACUUGCGUCCAUAUUCAUGAUGCAUAUAAUAAAAUCAGAAACAAAAAGAACGAUUUCCCUGAGAUGUGAGUCCUGUGACUGUUAAGAAUGUCUUCUCAGAAAGAGACGAUGCAAGUCCUGCCUAUCUGGGGACUUGCUAUCCCUCUUCCAGCUGUGUUGAUGAUCACUGUAAGUUGUUACAUGAUCAUCCUGGGGAUCGGGUUGUUGAUCCGAUUCUGUCUAAAGGACCGCUGUUCCUCUGAGUGUGGUGACUGCUGUCCAGACAUUUCUGUGUGUGAGCAGUGCCUGAGAAUGGCUGAAAUUUGUGACUGUCGCCUGCCAACAGUGCGCUCAUGUGUGAGCACUUUGUGCCCUUCUUCCACUCAGAUUUGUCUUUUUCCUUAGGAACAUCCAAUUUACUGUGCCACGUGGGACUGUGCCUGCACCUGCCAGCCACCUGAGUGUGAGUCCUGCAACUGUCUCUGCUUCGAAAUCAGGAUCAAGUAGAAAAAGCGUAUAAGGUGUUUCUCUGAGACGAUUAUUUUGUUACUGCUAUUAGAAGAAAUUUUAGAUUUUUUAUUACAAAACUUCCUACAAUACACAAAACCUCUUCUGUAUCUUUUGCUUUCAGAUGUUAAAGCUGAAUCAAAGUUGUAUUGUUUAUUUUGUAUGUCUGAUUGUGUGUAUCUGGGUGUGUGCAUUUGUUUCUCGACAGUUAGUUGAGGUAAUGUUUACUAAUUGCAGAAAAGAGCUAUCUGUGAUAUCCAAUAAAUUAAACUAAUCAAAAUUCAUUAUUGUUAAACAUAUGUCAUACUGUAUCUGAUCAUAAAAGUCAAAUUUUUGUACUUGUCGUUAGUCAAACCGGUUUACAUUUUUUAAUUAACUGUAAUCUUUUUGAAGGUUUUAUAAAACUCAUCUUUGUGUAGUGGAGGAAUAUUACGUGUUUAAAACUGAACAAAAGCUCUUUAUCUUGAUUAGAAAGUCAAAUGAAGUUUUUUUUUACCUGGGGUAAUGGGUCUUUGGGUCUCACUUUACUUUUACUUUUUGAAAUUUAGAGUUUUGCUUUUAAAUUUAGGCUCAAAAAUUCUUAAAAUGAUAAUCCUGUAUGUGAACAUAGCUCAAGAAGGAAAUCCAGGUAAACCAGACCAGACAGUAUUCUUAUUAAAGCUUUGCAAUGUAGCUGAGGGUUCCCUUAACAAUUAAGUCCUGUAGAUACAAUAAAGGCGGUUCUCUGCUUACUUUUAUGUGUUAAGAGAUUCAGCCAGUAAGUAAGAUGUCAGUAAUCAGUACUAAUCUUUACUGUAUGUUCAGUCUGGUUCUGUUUUUACCAACAAAUAUGAGUUUGUCAAUUAGUGGUGUAAUGUUUACGUACAGUAUAUUGGACCUUUUAAACAUGUAUGUGGAGACAUAUAAUAAUAUGACGUAUGAUGACAUAUGAUGAUUAUACUGUAGUAAUAUUGCUUUAUUGACUGAGCUUUUGCUUUUGGAGUGUCACUUCACAAGCCCUCUCUAAAUUCAUAAACAUUCAUAAACUAAGUUCAUAAACUAGUUUGAAGGAUACACAUUAUGCCUUAAGAUUAAGUGGAUGCUAAUGUACUAUAACACUUACAGGACAGAAAUUAAAAGUGGCAGAGCCAGGGGUUUUAAUUCUAUUUUUCAAAAGGAAAGACAUAUAAUUGUGAAGUAGAAAGAAAAUCAUACAUGAGGUAAUUUUUUUUUACAAAUAAAACAUUCAAAAGUAUUCACAGGGCAGCACGAUGGUGCUGUGUGUAGGACUGUUGCCUAAUAGUGAGAAGGUCCUGGGUUUGAUUCCUGGGGUGGACACGUAUGGGUGGAAGAUGGAUGGAAAAGUAUUCAGCCCCCAGGUCAUUACUUUGUGGAACCCCCCUUUUACUGCAGUUACAGCUGUCUGCAGUCUUUUGGGGGUAUGUCUCUACCAGCUUUGCACAUCUAGAGACUGAAAGUUUUGCCCAUUCUUCCUUGCAAAACAAUUCUAGCUGAGUCAGAUUAUAUUCCAUUCCAACACAUAUACUGUAAUAUGUUUUAUUUUAAACCAUUCCAUUGUAGUCUUGGGUUUAUGUUUAGGGUCGUUGUCCUGUUGGAAGGUGAAUCUCUGCCCCAGUCUCAAGUGUUUUGCAGACUCCAACAGGUUUUCCUCCCAGAUUGCCCUGUAUUUGUCUUCAUCCAUCUUCCCAUCAACUCUGACUAGCUUUGCUGUCCCUGCUGAAGAGAAGCGGCCCCAGAGCAUGAUGCUGCCACCACCAUGUCUGACAGUGGGUAUGGUGUGUUCAGAGUGAUGUGCAGUGUUAGGUUCCUGCCACACAUAGUGUUUAUGUUAAAUUUAAAAGUUAAAUUUUGGUCUCAUCUGACCAGAGCACCUUCUUCCACACGUUUGCUGGGUCACUCACAUUGUCAUAGUUUUGGGUUUUUGUGUAUGUUUCCGGUUUUAUUUUGAAGUCACUUCCUGUUUUGUGUUAGUCAUUCCACAUCCCACUUUAUGUUUUAGUCACGUGAUCCAUCAGCUGUUUUUUUAUCCAGUCAUUAGCGUUGUAUUUAAGGACUAUCACUUACCUGAGUUCUCCGCCAGAUCGAUUUGACUUAGUCCGUUCCAACAUUCAGUUUUUGCAGCUUAACUGUUGCCACCCUGUCUGUUUGCACGAUUCGAUUCGUGUGGAUUCUCCCUGUCGGUACUGUAGCCUGAGUAUUCUGUUGUGUUUGACAUCCUGCCUGAUCGACCUGCCUAUCUGCCAGUUGUCUCUGUACCAUUGCCAAUCUGCCCGCCUGGUUUUCGACCUGUGAUUGUAAUUGACCAAGAGAAACAUUAAAACCUUUUUAUCUGCUACCACGUGUCUCCGAAGCUGUGCAUGUGUGUCCGCCACCUCCGCUCAACCAUCGUUUGUGACACACAUGACUUCUGGCAAAUUGGGACUUCUUGUGGUUUUCUUUUAACAAUGGCUUUCUUCUUGCCACAUUUCCAUAAAGUCCUGAUUUGUGCAGUGCAUGACUGAUAGUUGAACUGACUCCCCCACGUGAGUUGUAGAUCUCUGCAGUUCAUCCAGACUCACCAUGGACCUCUUGGCUACAUCACUGAUCAGUGCCCUCCUUGCUGUGGACUCUAUUCAUUCACACUGCACUUGUAAGUUGUUUGUUUGUAAAAAAAAAACUUGUCAAAUUAUAUAUAUGUAAAAUAUGUAUAUUUUUUGUAAUUUCUUUUCUACUUCACAAUUAUAUGCCACUUUGUUUUGGUCUUUCACAUACCAUUCCAAUAAAAUAUAUUUAUGUUUGUUGUCAUAA